Molecule: ribosomal RNA, 468 nt
Filed under: uncultured bacterium
Lineage: Bacteria
Description: partial 16S ribosomal RNA
Rfam family: Bacterial small subunit ribosomal RNA
Source: RNAcentral
GACGAACGCUGGCGGCGUGCUUAACACAUGCAAGUCGAACGGAAAGGCCCUGCUUUUGUGGGGUGCUCGAGUGGCGAACGGGUGAGUAACACGUGAGUAACCUGCCCUUGACUUUGGGAUAACUUCAGGAAACUGGGGCUAAUACCGGAUAGGAGCUCCUGCUGCAUGGUGGGGGUUGGAAAGUUUCGGCGGUUGGGGAUGGACUCGCGGCUUAUCAGCUUGUUGGUGGGGUAGUGGCUUACCAAGGCUUUGACGGGUAGCCGGCCUGAGAGGGUGACCGGCCACAUUGGGACUGAGAGACGGCCCAGACGCCUACGGGACGCAGCAGGGGGGAAUAUUGCAGAAUGGGCGGAAGCCUGAUGCAGCAACGCCGCGUGCGGGAUGACGGGCUUCGGGUUGUAAACCGCUUUCGCAGGUGACGAAGCGUGAGUGACGGUAAUGGGUAAAGAAGCACCGGCUAACUACGUG